GCGCUCACUUUGGCAGCGCUCAUACCAAAAUUGGAGUGGCACAGCAAGGAGCAGCACAGCCCCUGUGCAAGGAUGACAUGGGCGUGUGUGAAGCAUUCCAUAUUUAA
Small nuclear RNA from Rattus norvegicus (Norway rat), 107 nucleotides. Lineage: Eukaryota; Metazoa; Chordata; Mammalia; Rodentia; Muridae. The record is from Ensembl.